AAAUAUAAGGAUAUAGAACAGAAUUUAUUUUAAUUCAUUGUAAGAUGUGUUCGCCUAGUGUUGUAUUGAAACUUGUAGUGUUUUGAGAGUGUAAAUUUCUUUUGGAAGAUGUGUGAAACGUUUUAAUUUUACUGAAGGCAUAGUGUACGUGCACAUGUAGAUGACAGGAGAGACCAGUUUUGAAAACUCUCUGGCCACCUCUUUUUUUCUUCUUACUUAAGAUAUGUUCUGUGAAUUGUGCUUCUAGAAAGGUGGGGGGAUGUGGUAAGAGGAAAGUCGAGGAAUUAAAAAUCAUUCCAAUAAAAUGGUUUAAUUUAUGCCUCGGCAGUUAAGCAGUGCUCCUGGUUAACAGAAAUACCCUUCAGCUACACAGGAUUUUGGAGGGUUGGAGGGCACUCAUUUGCACAUAAAUAGCCAUUAACUGAUAAAUUCCCAGAGGUCUCCUGUUGCAUGUUAGUGGUUCUGACCUACUUAGCUAGCUUAAAUUUGUUUUACAGAAUUAUUAUAAUUCUAUCCUUGGUACUUAAACUUUGUGAUUAAUGCAUGCCUCACAAUACAAUUAAAGUAUAAUUAUACAGUUUUGCAGUUUCCUAUCGUGGUGUUAUUAUUACCAAGAUCUGGAUUUUGCAAAUAUUAGAAGAGUUAAGGUUUUGAUAUUUAUUACUUUUGCUGUUAUUAUGUGAUUAUGUUAAAUGAGACCUUUUUAUGUCUGAAGAAUGGAUUUGAGAGAGGCAGACCAUUCGAUGCAGAAUUUGUUAGCUUGGAAAUGAUUGAAUCAGUCACUGUGAGCAUUGGGUCCACUGCGUGGAUUGACAAGUCCCGGUUUUUUCUUGCUUAACCUUUUUCAAAUGUUUCUGAAAUAUAGUAGGUUCUUCACACCAUUUUUUUUCUCCCCCUGGAAGCAAUGUUGGAAAAAUGUCGGAAAGCAAUAGAAAAACCCCGGAGUGGGGUUCAGUAGAUCUGAACUGCGAUGCUGACAGUUACAAAAAGAAC
RNAcentral lists this long non-coding RNA (993 nucleotides) under Bos taurus (domestic cattle). RNAcentral describes it as "long non-coding RNA NONBTAT025492". Lineage: Eukaryota; Metazoa; Chordata; Mammalia; Artiodactyla; Bovidae. The record is from RNAcentral.